RNAcentral lists this ribosomal RNA (443 nucleotides) under uncultured bacterium. RNAcentral describes it as "partial 16S ribosomal RNA". It matches the Rfam family "Bacterial small subunit ribosomal RNA", at positions 338 to 795 of the family's 1533-position model. The record is from RNAcentral.
CCUACGGGAGGCAGCAGUGGGGAAUAUUGGGCAAUGGAGGCAACCCUGACCCAGCAACGCCGCGUGAAUGAUGAAGGUCUUCGGAUUGUAAAGUCCUGUGAUGGGGGAUGAACACAAUGACGGUACCCCAAUACCAAGCCACGGCUAACUACGUGCCAGCAGCCGCGGUAAUACGUAGGCGGCAAGCGUUAUCCGGAAUGACUGGGAGUAAAGGGUGCGUAGGUGGGUUAGUAAGUUGGCGGUGUAAUUCCGGGGCUUAACCUCGGCGCUACUGCCGAAACUAUUAGACUAGAGUGCAGGAGAGGUAAGUGGAAUUCCAGGUGUAGCGGUGGAAUGCGUAGAGAUAAGGAGGAACAUCAGGGGCGAAGGCGACUUACUGGACUGUAACUGACGCUGAGGCACGAAAGCGUGGGGAGCAAACAGGAUUAGAUACCCUUGUAGUC